AUGAACCUGCUGACCAGGGAAAUGCUGCUUUUGCACCCUCCAUUCACAGCCACCCACCCACUGCCCAGAGGCCACACACUGCGCAAGCCUGUUCUGGGAGCGCUGCAAGCCCAGUAUUCCAUCCCACACCCUUUUGUCUCAGAUGCAGCCUCUGCAGAAUCCAAAGCAGUCAGAACGCUUCACGGACUGUCCAAUCAUCUGGACUUCAGGCUACCUGAGCUGUCAGAAAGUGACCCGCAGAUGGGAAGAGCAGGACAAGGUCCUUCCUAUCAGGAACAACCAAGUGCCUUCCAGGAUGGGGGUAUUUCCCUCUCACAGUCAUCCAUGGCACUCACUCCUCCCUAUCCCUUAGCAUUCCUCUUAGUCUAUGAGCUGAACCCACUGCAAAUCAAGUAACUGGAUUUACAUUAAAUCAGCCUCCCGCCUUAAUUUAUGUGACCUGUCUUGAACUAAGAUUUUUUCCCUUAGGGGUGAAUGAAAGGGGGGAGAGGCUCAGAUGGAAGAAAUAGAAAGAAAUUUCAAGAGACCAGAGACAAUUUUCAGGAAAUGGGCAACCUUCCCACCAAGGAACCUCUGCUUUUCCAUUCUCCAUUCAUGACCACCCACCCAGCUUUCCAGAUGCCAAACAUGGUGCAGGCAUGAUCCUGGAGCACUGCAUGCCCAGUAGCCAAGCCAACUACAUCUGUGUUCAGUUUUCUGCCUCUGCAGAAUCCAAAGGCAGUCACCACUCUUGCCAGCCUGCCCAAGUGUCUGGACUUUAGGCCACCUGAGCUGUCUGAGAGCGCCCCACAGAUGGGAAGGCAGACAGGUGAGGUAAUUAUUCUGGGGAGUCAGUGGUGCUCUGUAUCCUACCCUGCUCCCUAGGCAUGUCCUGGGGGAUCCACCAGCCCCAUCUUCAACUCUGGCUCUGUGCUGGCACAGGCCAAUCCCAAGCACCUCUGGGCUUUGCCGGUGCUCUGGCAACCGUUCUCUCUAAUAACCACUCUGAGGACUUCCUUCUGCCUCCUGACCAAACCCAGGGGUGGACUGCACUAGGGUUGUGCACUUGACAGCUGAUUUCCAACCUACUCUCCCUCUAACGAAAACCACAUCCCGCCUGACAGAGGGCAAUCUGUCUCUCUCUCAAAGUCUCCUGUGGCACUGCUUCCUCCUUUCCCAACACCACUGCUCUACGUCCCUCAGCUGAUCCAUCCCACUUCACGUCAGGUCACCAGCUGGAAAGUCAUCUGCUCACCGUAAAACAUGUGAUCGCCUCUUAGCAAAUGCCCUUUCCCUGGAGAUGAAUGAGAGGAAGCACUGGUUCAGGAAGAAACAUGAAAAGGCACUCGGGGGAGAAAUUUUGGAGAUAUAUCCCAGUGAGGAGCACAGCCUGACCAGACAAAACACUGGUGCUGUU
RNAcentral lists this long non-coding RNA (1396 nucleotides) under Sus scrofa (pig). RNAcentral's name for it is "lncRNA (ENSSSCG00070021904.1)". Lineage: Eukaryota; Metazoa; Chordata; Mammalia; Artiodactyla; Suidae. The record is from RNAcentral.